Molecule: ribosomal RNA, 413 nt
Filed under: uncultured prokaryote
Description: bacterial SSU rRNA
Rfam family: Bacterial small subunit ribosomal RNA
Source: RNAcentral
GUGUCAGCCGCCGCGGUAAUACGUAUGGGGCAAGCGUUGUUCGGAUUUAUUGGGCGUAAAGGGCGUGUAGGCGGCGCGCGGCGUCCGGUGUGAAAACGCAGGGCUCAACCCUGCGGUUGCGCUGGAAACGGGCGUGCUCGAGUCCCGGGGGGGAAGCUGGAAUUCCUGGUGUAGGAGUGAAAUCUGUAGAGAUCAGGAAGAACACCGGUGGCGAAGGCGAGCUUCUAUUCGAGGACUGACGCUGAGGCGCGAAAGCGUGGGGAGCAAACAGGAUUAGAUACCCUGGUAGUCCACGCUGUAAACGAUGUGCACUAGGCGUGGGACACGUCGGUGUUCUGUGCCGUAGCCAACGCGAUAAGUGCACCGCCUGGGGAGUAUGCUCGCAAGGGUGAAACUUAAAUGAAUUGACGGGG